UUAAAAAUAAGUUAAUUAAACUAUUAGAUUCAUAAUCUAACAAUAGAUAUAAUAUCUUUUUUAUA
RNAcentral lists this transfer RNA (65 nucleotides) under Alloxysta sp. ZJUH_2016001. RNAcentral describes it as "tRNA-Met". The record is from RNAcentral. Lineage: Eukaryota; Metazoa; Arthropoda; Insecta; Hymenoptera; Figitidae.